UGCUCAGUUUUCUUCACAGUCCAACUCUCGCAUCCAUACGUGACCACUGGAAAAACCAUAGCCUUGACUAGAUGGACCUUUGUUGGCAAAGUAAUGUCUGUGCUUUUCAAUAUGCUAUCUAGGUUGUAAAGGCCAAAUUACAGGCUUUUUAACCCCACCAUAUUGCAGUAACUUUAGCUAUAGAAUGAAAGUAGAAUUGGGAUGUAAAUAAGGCAGCUCUCAGCAUCAGCAGGGAAUUGGUUCCAGGACACUACCCACGUUGUCCCCCCAAGGCCGCCAGAGCCCCUUAUAUAAAACGGCAUGGUAUUUAUGUGUAACCUACGUACAUCCUCCUGUGUUCUGUAAAUCAUUCCUAGAUUUUGUCUGAUAAUAUAAUGUGAAGGCUGUGUAAACAGUUGCUAGGGCAUGCAGCAAACUCAAGUUUUGCUUGUUGGAUUUUUCUGGAAUUUUUUUUCCUGAAUAUUUUCAAUCUGCAGUUGAUUGAAUCCUCAAAUGUGGAACCCGUUUUUUAGAGGGCCAAAUGUAAGUUCCAGUGAUUUUUUUUCACAUUAAACUUAACAUUUUAAAAGCAUCCUUAAGCAUCUUGCUCUUCGUUGGUUAAAUAACAUACAAAGUUAAGUUAAAAGAAGGUAUUAUAUUUUCGUUUAAAUCAUCUUCACUGUAGCAAUGACAAAAAAAUAAAUCUUAUACCUACUGUAUCUCAAUUUUUGUUAUGUGCAGAUGUAAAAUAUUUUAACUGGCUAAAUUAAAGUGUUAGUCACUCAAUCCGACUCUGUGACCUGUGGACUGUAGCCUGUGAGGCUCCUCUGUCUAUGAAAUUCUCAAGGCAAGAGUACAGGAGUGCCAUUCAGAAAUCUUCCUGACCCAGGGAUCAAACCCUGGUCUGCAUUACAGGCAGAUUCUUUACCAUCUGAGCCACUAGGGAAGCCCCAUCUAACUGUAGAGGGAAUCCAAAUCCUCUUUCUUUUCCCUUGGGCAGAACAGAGUUCCUGGCCUGUCUUUCUCAUACCUACACUCAACUCCUAACCCACUAGAGGAAAAGAGAAAGACUGGAAAGGACUCUGCAAAUAAUUUCCCUUGAAAUAGAUGGAUUAGAGUAUUUUAACAAGGCUUGCAUGAACUAGAAAGGUUUGGGAUGUGCAGAAACCAGUCACAAGGAUAAGGCACAGUUUUCAAGGCUAAGGUAGACCCCUGAGAACACUGCUGUUUGCCAUUAAUAUCAAGUUGCGCUUUUACCUGUUGAAUGCUUUUUUUGUUGUUUAAGAUGAGUAAAAAGGAAACUAGUCAGCUGCUUUGUACUUCCUGGAACAGAGGUUUGAAACAGGGCCCCAACUCUCAAGAGUAAGAACUCCAUGCAUAAAAAAGUAAUCACAAAUAUUCAAAUGUAAAGGUAUUAAUACGAACUAAAGGUUGACAUUUUAAUUUGAUCUUUUUUGUUAAAUGAGUACCUUGAUGUACAGGGGUUGUUGGAAUUUUUAUUAUAGGUUUAUCCUGCACAAGAAAAUUUCCUGUCUAUGGGAAAUAAAAUCGAAGGAUUUCCUGAGUGAGAAUUAGUUCUAUUAACUUUUAUGUUUUCAUAUUUCAUGCCAUCUUAGUGUUUGAAGUGUAAGAAAUUUGGGCCUUCAUUUGUAGCUAUGGGGCUAUCAUAUGAUAUCACUUAUAUGUAGAAUCUUUUAAAAAAGAUACAAGUGAUUUACAAAACAGACUCACAGACUCUGAGGACAAUUUAGGGUUACAGGGGAUGGGGGGAAGUGGGAGGAGGCAGGAUAGAUUGAGAAUUUGAGAUUGACAAGUACAUACUGCUAUGUUUAAAAUAGAUAACCAGCGAAGAACUACUGGAUUGCACAGGGACGGCUGCUCAAUAUUCUGAGUCCCAGAUGCGACUUGGGUGCUAGAAGUGGUCAAAUAUCCAGUGCUUAUUCCAAAAUUACUGUUUUUAUAGAUGGUUUCUCCUUGGCUUCUGACUUGCGUGGUUCCCAGCUCCCUGAACUCAAGUUAGUACAGCAGCUCUAUGGAUUGAAAUGAUUUGUAGUCCAGUCAAGGAGCCCAUCUACCACAGACUUAGUUUUACUCUAAAGAAGAAAUCUGUUUCAAGUUCCAUGCAACUAACAUACAAAGGAAGGUGGAGGCAAUGUGGAGACCAGCUACACAGUCCCUAUAAUUCUCCAGGCCAGAAUACUGGAGUGGGGAGCCUAUCCCUUUUCCAGAGGAUCUUCCCAACCCAGGAAUCAAACCGGGGUCUCCUGCAUUGCAGGCCGAUUCUUCACCACCUGAGCUACCCAGGGAAACCCUAUAUAUAGUUGUUUCGGGUUUUGAUUUUCUUUUCAAAUGUAAGCUCAGUUCAUUACAUAAUUAGGAAGUUUGUGAAAUUUUAAUAUGUUAAUUGACAACUACUAGAGGGAGAAACAAAAACUUACUCUUGCAUUUGCUGUUUUUGGUGAGAACAGUUUUAGCCAGAGAUUUGAAUGGAGAGGAGACAGGAGGCCAUGUAGCUACUCUGUAUCAGAAUUAAGUAACCAGCUGCAGGUGAGUACCAUGCACCAGAGAAACAAGCAACCAGCUGUAGGUGAGCGGGUGGUUAGUUUUAAGCGCAGGAACGGUCUUAGGAGUUUGGUGGACCCUCUGGGUGAAUAGGAAGUGACUUAUCUUCUGAACCUAAUUCUUACAUAGCCCAUAUUGCCACCCACCCUGCAAGGAGAGGGCUGGCCAAGAACAUCGACGCUGAUUUACGAGGAGAAAUGAGGACACCUUUUACCCCAGAUCUGGAUUUGUGACAGUGUCGGUGUACAAUGAUUCCAUUCAGACCAAGACAGAAUUCCAAGUCUCCGGGGUGUUCCCUUCCCCACACCUCCACUCUUCCUCUCCUAGCCUUUCUGGCGACAUUCAGGCUGGUGCUUCUCAAACUUUUGGGUGCCUGAGAACCUCUUGGGGAGCUAAUGAUGGCACAGAUACCUGGCCCUCUUUCCAGAAACUGAGGUGACCCUCUCCAGAAGGGAACAUUUGCUCUGAAUCAGAAACCUGGGAAGUUUUGUUCAGAAUUAAGCUACACCCUCAAUGAUAAAAAUCUGGGCAUUUUUCCUCCAAAAGCUUUCAUUUAAUCGAGAGUUUUCUAACAGAAUGAAGAUAAGGGCUGUCCAGUCUAGAACUUCGCCAACAGGGACUCUUGGAUUCCUGAUUAAUCUCUGUCUUUCUCCUCUCCCUACUAUAUGCCUUGAGAAACCUGGCUUCCUUUAUUAUUAUAUCUUAAUUUUACUUACAAAGGAAAGCGUUGCCAGUCUCAUCUGUUUCAAAUGCCAUUUCUUUGAAAUCCCUUUUGGAAAAGGAUCAUGGUUUGCGGCCUUUCAGAGAACAAGAAUACAUCUUUAAAAUUUUGGGGCCACUGGGCAGUAUGCAGGAUUUUAGUUCCCCUACCAGGGACCAUUGAACCUCUGCCCCCUGCAUUGGAAGCAUGGAGUCUUAGCCACUGGACCACCAGGGAAGUCUCUAAGACCACCAGGGAAGUCUCUAAGAAUGUAUCUUACCUAAGUGUCCUUUGAACUUUUAAAGUUCUUUGGCUUUCUGUAAACUGAGCCAACAGGGGUCUUCAGGCCCUACAUUCAUUAAUGGAGUCACACAGCAAGCAUUAGCAACAAGGAUGAAGUGGCGACACAAACCUGUAAUGGUCAUCACCCAUCACCCUUUCCUCAGCGCACACUAGGAUCCAGGUGCGGUCCCUCAGGCACUUUACUAGCAUUCUCUUGUAAUUUAAGUCAGAUUUAUUACCUUCACUUUGCAGAUAGGAAAACACAUAACAGAUACAGUCACCGGAACAGGAGCUCAGAGCUAAGAAACGCAAGCAUCUCUGACUGCAUGACCUUGGCUUCAACGCCACCUUGCAGCAGUUCCGCAUGAUGGUCAUCAAGUCAGUCUGUCUCUCCAAGCCUUGAUGACCCCACCCCUCGGGGACCUUGGGAAAAAGCACUUGUCUCUUGUGUGCCUUUAUUUAACCCAGGCCGAUGAG
This is a long non-coding RNA of Bubalus bubalis (water buffalo), 4000 nucleotides long. RefSeq lists it as uncharacterized. The record is from RefSeq and is a predicted model, not a curated record. The transcript is spliced from 2 exons. NCBI's taxonomy places the organism in Eukaryota, Metazoa, Chordata, Mammalia, Artiodactyla, Bovidae.